This 220-nucleotide ribosomal RNA is filed under the name uncultured crenarchaeote. RNAcentral's name for it is "partial 16S ribosomal RNA". It matches the Rfam family "Archaeal small subunit ribosomal RNA", at positions 701 to 920 of the family's 1478-position model. Lineage: Archaea; Thermoproteati; Thermoproteota. The record is from RNAcentral.
GGGGCGAAAGCCGGGGUAGCAAAAGGGAUUAGAUACGGCUGUAGUCCCGGCCGUAAACGAUGCAAGCUAGGUGUCGCGUGGGCUUAGCGCCCACGCGGUGCCGCAGGGAAACCGGUAAGCUUGCCGCCUGGGGAGUACGGCCGCAAGCUGAAACUUAAAAGGAAUUGGCGGGGGAGCACCACAAGGGGUGGAACCUGCGGCUCGCUUGGAGUCAACGCCU